UACGUAGGGGGCGAGCGUUAUCCGGAAUUACUGGGCGUAAAGCGCACGCAGGCGGUUCGCCAAGUUUGGAGUGACAGUUGUCGGCUCAACCGAACAAAGGACUUCAAAAACUGGUGAACUUGAGGACGAGAGAGGAACAUGGAACUCCAGGUGUAGUAGUGAAAUGCGUAGAUAUCUGGAAGAACACCAAUGGCGAAGGCAAUGUUCUGGCUCGUUUCUGACGCUCAGGUGGCGAAAAGCCAGGGGAGCGAACGGG
Molecule: ribosomal RNA, 256 nt
Filed under: uncultured bacterium
Lineage: Bacteria
Description: partial 16S ribosomal RNA
Rfam family: Bacterial small subunit ribosomal RNA
Source: RNAcentral